UGGGGAAUAUUGCACAAUGGGCGCAAGCCUGAUGCAGCCAUGCCGCGUGUAUGAAGAAGGCCUUCGGGUUGUAAAGUACUUUCAGCGGGGAGGAAGGCGAUAAGGUUAAUAACCUCGUCGAUUGACGUUACCCGCAGAAGAAGCACCGGCUAACUCCGUGCCAGCAGCCGCGGUAAUACGGAGGGUGCAAGCGUUAAUCGGAAUUACUGGGCGUAAAGCGCACGCAGGCGGUCUGUCAAGUCGGAUGUGAAAUCCCCGGGCUCAACCUGGGAACUGCAUUCGAAACUGGCAGGCUAGAGUCUUGUAGAGGGGGGUAGAAUUCCAGGUGUAGCGGUGAAAUGCGUAGAGAUCUGGAGGAAUACCGGUGGCGAAGGCGGCCCCCUGGACAAAGACUGACGCUCAGGUGCGAAAGCGUGGGGAGCAAACA
This 427-nucleotide ribosomal RNA is filed under the name uncultured bacterium. RNAcentral describes it as "partial 16S ribosomal RNA". It matches the Rfam family "Bacterial small subunit ribosomal RNA", at positions 355 to 774 of the family's 1533-position model. The record is from RNAcentral.